This is a regulatory RNA element of Streptococcus intermedius B196, 105 nucleotides long. It matches the Rfam family "PyrR binding site". From Rfam's summary of the family: This family represents the PyrR binding site and terminator structure. This RNA structure is found upstream of a variety of genes involved in pyrimidine biosynthesis and transport. The alignment also includes a portion of the antiterminator structure. The record is from Rfam. NCBI's taxonomy places the organism in Bacteria, Bacillati, Bacillota, Bacilli, Lactobacillales, Streptococcaceae.
GAAACCUUUAAAGAAGUCCAGAGAGGCUACUAAGGCUGAUACGGUUUAAAAUGGCAGUAAACUGUCAAUUUUCGUGUAACCUUGCCUCAGGCAAGGUUUUUCUAU